AUGUGGGGGCUAGGGUUUAGGUGGCUGCUGCUGCUGCUGGCGUUCGCGGCGGCGGUGGAGCUGGAGGCGCGGUUUGUGGUGGAGAAGAACAGCCUGAUGGUCACGUCGCCGACGGCUCUGCGGGGACGGCACGAUAGCGCCAUAGGCAACUUCGGCAUCCCGCAGUACGGCGGGAGCAUGGCUGGUGCCGUCGUCUAUCCCAAGGGCAACUCAGACGCCUGCGAGGCCUUCAACAGCGGCAGGAAGGAGCACCUCUUCCGCACCAAGCCUGGAGCGCUCCCCAGCUUCCUUCUCAUAGACCGCGGGAAUUGCCUGUUUGCUAAGAAGGUCUGGAAUGCACAAUAUGCUGGUGCCUCAGCAGUGCUUGUAGUUGAUGACAAGGAUGAGCCACUGAUAACAAUGGACUUACUUCAGGAAGAUGAUGAGGCUGCAAAAUAUAUACAGAACAUAUCCAUUCCUUCUGCUUUAAUUGAUAAGAAAUUUGGAGAACAAUUGAAGAAGGCUGUUAAAGAUGGUGAAAUGGUAAAUGUGGAUCUUGAUUGGAGGGAGGCUGUCCCACAUCCUGAUAACCGAGUUGAGUAUGAGUUGUGGACAAAUAGCAAUGAUGAAUGUGGGCCUAAAUGUGAUAUGCUUAUGCAUUUUCUGAAGGAAUUUAAGGGAGCUGCGCAGUUACUUGAAAAAGGUGGUUAUAGUCAGUUCACACCCCAUUAUAUUACUUGGUAUUGCCCUCAAGCAUUUGUUGUCAGCAAACAAUGCAAGUCCCAGUGUAUAAACCAUGGAAGGUAUUGUGCACCUGAUCCAGAACAAGAUUUUAGUACUGGGUAUGAUGGAAAAGAUGUUGUUGUAGAGAACUUGAGACAGCUUUGUGUGUUUAAUGUUGCAAAUGAGAUAAAAAAACCAUGGAUCUGGUGGGAUUAUGUGACUGAUUUUCACAUAAGGUGCCCAAUGAAGGAGAAGAAGUAUAACAAAAAGUGCGCAGAGACAGUCGUUAAAUCACUAGGUUUGGAAAUGCAGAAGAUUGACAAGUGCAUGGGAGAUCCAAAUGAUGAUUCUGACCACCCUUUACUUAAAAUGGAGCAGGACUCUCAGAUUGGGAAAGGGUCAAGAGGAGAUGUUACCAUAUUGCCUACUCUUGUUGUGAACAAUCGACAAUAUCGAGGAAAGCUAGGAAGGAAAGCUGUCCUCAAAGCUAUUUGUGCUGGCUUUGAGGAAACUACUGAGCCAAAUGUUUGUCUGAGUGAUGACAUAGAAACAAACGAGUGUCUGAGCGAUAAUGGAGGUUGCUGGCAAGACAAAGCUGCUAAUGUAACAGCUUGUAGGGACACUUUUCGUGGCAGAGUGUGUGAAUGCCCCACAUUCAAUGGCGUGCAAUUUAAAGGAGAUGGCUACAGCAACUGUGAACCCGCUGGUCCCGGAAAAUGCUUGAUAAACCAUGGUGGGUGCUGGCAUGAAACUCGCAACGGAAAAACAUUCUCUGCUUGUCAGGAAUCAGGAGAUCAAAAGUGCAAGUGUCCAGCUGGUUUCCGAGGGGACGGUGUUAAAAAAUGUCAUGAUAUUGACGAGUGCAAGGAGAGAAAAGCUUGCCAGUGUCCUGAAUGCAGCUGCAGAGAUACAUGGGGUGGCUAUGAUUGUACUUGUAGUGGCGACCUUUUGUACAUCAAGGAGCACGACACUUGCAUAAGUAAGACAACAGUUCAGGCUAAAGCAGCAUGGGCUGCUGUGUGGGGGAUCUUGGUAGCCUUGGUUAUUGUGGCGGCAGGAAGCUAUGUGGUAUACAAAUACAGAUUAAGGGCAUACAUGGACUCUGAGAUUAGAGCUAUCAUGGCACAGUACAUGCCACUGGACAAUCAAGGAGAGGUCCCAUAUGAUUCACACGAAGAUCAUCCACUUGCUCACUAA
RNAcentral lists this ribosomal RNA (1899 nucleotides) under Triticum aestivum (bread wheat). Its description in RNAcentral is "partial small subunit ribosomal RNA". The record is from RNAcentral. Lineage: Eukaryota; Viridiplantae; Streptophyta; Magnoliopsida; Poales; Poaceae.